CACGCCGUAAACGAUGGAUGCUAGCUGUUAUAGGUAUCGACCCCUGUAGUAGCGAAGCUAACGCGUUAAGCAUCCCGCCUGUGGAGUACGAGCGCAAGCUUAAAACAUAAAGGAAUUGACGGGGACCCGCACAAGCGGUGGAGCGUGUUCUUUAAUUCGAAGGUAAGCGAAGAACCUUACCAGGGUUUGACAUCCUGCGAAGUUUGCUGAAAGGCGAACGUGCUUUAUUGAGCGCAGUGACAGGUGU
Molecule: ribosomal RNA, 247 nt
Filed under: uncultured bacterium
Lineage: Bacteria
Description: partial 16S ribosomal RNA
Rfam family: Bacterial small subunit ribosomal RNA
Source: RNAcentral